UGCAAGUCGAGCGGUAACAGGAAGAAAGCUUGCUUUUUUGCUGACGAGCGGCGGACGGGUGAGUAAUGCCUGGGAAAUUGCCCUGAUGUGGGGGAUAACCAUUGGAAACGAUGGCUAAUACCGCAUGAUGCCCUUGCUUAUAAUGAGCAGGGGCCAAAGAGGGGGACCUUCGGGCCUCUCGCGUCAGGAUAUGCCCAGGUGGGAUUAGCUAGUUGGUGAGGUAAUGGCUCACCAAGGCGACGAUCCCUAGCUGGUCUGAGAGGAUGAUCAGCCACACUGGAACUGAGACACGGUCCAGACUCCUACGGGAGGCAGCAGUGGGGAAUAUUGCACAAUGGGCGCAAGCCUGAUGCAGCCAUGCCGCGUGUAUGAAGAAGGCCUUCGGGUUGUAAAGUACUUUCAGUCGUGAGGAAGGGGGUAUCGUUAAUAGCGGUAUUCUUUGACGUUAGCGACAGAAGAAGCACCGGCUAACUCCGUGCCAGCAGCCGCGGUAAUACGGAGGGUGCGAGCGUUAAUCGGAAUUACUGGGCGUAAAGCGCAUGCAGGUGGUUUGUUAAGUCAGAUGUGAAAGCCCGGGGCUCAACCUCGGAGUUGCAUUUGAAACUGGCAGGCUAGAGUACUGUAGAGGGGGGUAGAAUUUCAGGUGUAGCGGUGAAAUGCGUAGAGAUCUGAAGGAAUACCGGUGGCGAAGGCGGCCCCCCUGGACAGAUACUGACACUCAGAUGCGAAAGCGUGGGGAGCAAACAGGAUUAGAUACCCUGGUAGUCCACGCCGUAAACGAUGUCUACUUGGAGGUUGUGGCCUUGAGCCGUGGCUUUCGGAGCUAACGCGUUAAGUAGACCGCCUGGGGAGUACGGUCGCAAGAUUAAAACUCAAAUGAAUUGACGGGGGCCCGCACAAGCGGUGGAGCAUGUGGUUUAAUUCGAUGCAACGCGAAGAACCUUACCUACUCUUGACAUCUACAGAAUCCUGCGGAGACGCGGGAGUGCCUUCGGGAACUGUAAGACAGGUGCUGCAUGGCUGUCGUCAGCUCGUGUUGUGAAAUGUUGGGUUAAGUCCCGCAACGAGCGCAACCCUUAUCCUUGUUUGCCAGCACUAAUGGUGGGAACUCCAGGGAGACUGCCGGUGAUAAACCGGAGGAAGGUGGGGACGACGUCAAGUCAUCAUGGCCCUUACGAGUAGGGCUACACACGUGCUACAAUGGCGCAUACAGAGGGCGCAAGCUAGCGAUAGUGAGCGAAUCCCAAAAAGUGCGUCGUAGUCCGGAUUGGAGUCUGCAACUCGACUCCAUGAAGUCGGAAUCGCUAGUAAUCGUGGAUCAGAAUGCCACGGUGAAUACGUUCCCGGGCCUUGUACACACCGCCCGUCACACCAUGGGAGUGGGCUGCUAAAAGAAGCAGGUAGUUUAACCUUCGGGAGGACGCUUGCC
Molecule: ribosomal RNA, 1429 nt
Filed under: Vibrio metschnikovii
Lineage: Bacteria; Pseudomonadati; Pseudomonadota; Gammaproteobacteria; Vibrionales; Vibrionaceae
Description: bacterial SSU rRNA
Rfam family: Bacterial small subunit ribosomal RNA
Source: RNAcentral